RNAcentral lists this ribosomal RNA (467 nucleotides) under uncultured bacterium. RNAcentral describes it as "bacterial SSU rRNA". It matches the Rfam family "Bacterial small subunit ribosomal RNA", at positions 328 to 794 of the family's 1533-position model. The record is from RNAcentral.
UGUCCAGACUCCUACGGGAGGCAGCAGUGAGGAAUAUUGGUCAAUGGGCGGGAGCCUGAACCAGCCAUGCCGCGUGAGGGCGAGUGCCCUACGGGCGUUAAACUUCUUUUGUGCGGGAGCAAUAAGGGCCACGCGUGGCCCGAUGAGAGUACCGCACGAAUAAGCAUCGGCUAACUCCGUGCCAGCAGCCGCGGUAAUACGGAGGAUGCGAGCGUUAUCCGGAUUUAUUGGGUUUAAAGGGUGCGUAGGCGGUUUUUUAAGUUAGUGGUUAAACGUCGGGGCUUCACCUUGAUUUGCCAUUAAUACUGUAAGACUCGAGUUCAGACGAGGUAGGCGGAAUAAGUUAAGUAGCGGUGAAAUGCUUAGAUAUAACGUAGAACUCCGAUAGCGAAGGCAGCUUACCAGACUGCGACUGACGCUGAAGCACGAGAGCGUGGGUAGCGAACAGGAUUAGAUACCCGAGUAGA